Molecule: long non-coding RNA, 1072 nt
Organism: Lutra lutra (Eurasian river otter)
Lineage: Eukaryota; Metazoa; Chordata; Mammalia; Carnivora; Mustelidae
Exons: 3
Source: RefSeq, a predicted model, not a curated record
GCCAGGUCCUCAGUUUUCCUACAUGGGAGAGUCUGGCUGCCCAGGAAAUGAGACAAGAUUCACCCUGGCCCCGUGCGAGUGUUUGGCUCUGGAAGGUGGCCUCUGCCUGAAGCCAGCGGGGCGGCAUCGCUGGCCACGCGUGCUGAGGGAAGGCUGAGCACGAGGGCUCCGCGGUGCACCACUUAUCCAGAGAUGCUGCUUAAGGCUGGUCACAUCCAGCUGGGUGUCCCAGUGACAGAGCUGCUCCACACUUGCCCCCAUCGAUCUCCUGUCACUCAUUAGUACAUCUAGGGAAAUGCGCUACACACGGAGAAGAUGUUCUGACGACUUGAGAGCAGAGUGGGCUGUGUUAUCACCGUGUCCUCGACACUUCCACAGCCCAGCGUAAACAGUCCCGUCUUCUGCUCGCAGCUGAAAUUGCAGUGGAGAAGGUGCUCGGAGAGUUCGAUUUACACGCGCCUCAAUGUUUAGAAAUGACCAUUUGAGAAUCAGGGAAUGGGUGAAUUGAUGGUUUCCCCCCCUACCUCCCAGUUUUCCCCCAGGGGAGGCAAGGAGGACGUUCAGGAGAGGCUGCCUGCCGGGGAGGAGCCCACCGGAGCCCACCUCCUAGACAUUUUGUAGUUUUUAAAGAACAAUCUGUUUUUAAAAUUCUUGUCUCAGAAGAACCUCAGUUACGGAGACACUGAUCACCUGUUUGGAAGAAAACAUACAUCUUACGAUGAACAGACUAGGCUAGGCCCGAAGGUCAACGUCACUGUGGCUGAGCGCUCAGAGUAAGUGCUGGUCCCUCAGAGGGACAGGGCGGCCAUCAGGAAGCACCAGAAGCCUUGCUGGUGGUCCCCUGUUGCCAACGUGGGCUUGCACCCGAGCCUGCGACCUCAUGACGCAUGCUCAUGGCUCGUGUGCAGGGAGCCAGCCUGUGCCAUGAGCGUCGGCCUGCACCCGGUGCCAUGGCACACUGCAAUCUGGAUAAAGCCCACAUGAUGGCACGCGGGAGACCUGCAUCUCUCAUACCUGGCCCAUGUGGAGGCCUGAAGGGGUGACACUCUCUGCAAACACGUCGUUCUGUUCU